UGGGGAAUUUUGGACAAUGGGCGCAAGCCUGAUCCAGCAAUGCCGCGUGCAGGAUGAAGGCCUUCGGGUUGUAAACCGCUUUUGUACGGAACGAAACGGCUCUGGUUAAUACCUGGGGCUAAUGACGGUACCGUAAGAAUAAGCACCGGCUAACUACGUGCCAGCAGCCGCGGUAAUACGUAGGGUGCGAGCGUUAAUCGGAAUUACUGGGCGUAAAGCGUGCGCAGGCGGUGAUGUAAGACAGAUGUGAAAUCCCCGGGCUCAACCUGGGAACGGCCUUUGUGACUGCAUAGCUAAAGUACGGUAGAGGGGGAUGGAAUUCCGCGUGUAGCAGUGAAAUGCGUAGAUAUGCGGAGGAACACCGAUGGCGAAGGCAAUCCCCUGGACCUGUACUGACGCUCAUGCACGAAAGCGUGGGGAGCAAACA
Molecule: ribosomal RNA, 427 nt
Filed under: uncultured bacterium
Lineage: Bacteria
Description: bacterial SSU rRNA
Rfam family: Bacterial small subunit ribosomal RNA
Source: RNAcentral